This 3028-nucleotide ribosomal RNA is filed under the name Salmonella enterica subsp. enterica serovar Ruiru. RNAcentral describes it as "bacterial LSU rRNA". It matches the Rfam family "Bacterial large subunit ribosomal RNA". The record is from RNAcentral. Lineage: Bacteria; Pseudomonadati; Pseudomonadota; Gammaproteobacteria; Enterobacterales; Enterobacteriaceae.
GGGUUGUGAGGUUAAGCGACUAAGCGUACACGGUGGAUGCCCUGGCAGUCAGAGGCGAUGAAGGGCGUGCUAAUCUGCGAUAAGCGCCGGUAAGGUGAUAUGAACCGUUAUAACCGGCGAUACCCGAAUGGGGAAACCCAGUGUGACUCGUCACACUAUCAUUAACUGAAUCCAUAGGUUAAUGAGGCGAACCGGGGGAACUGAAACAUCUAAGUACCCCGAGGAAAAGAAAUCAACCGAGAUUCCCCCAGUAGCGGCGAGCGAACGGGGAGGAGCCCAGAGCCUGAAUCAGCAUGUGUGUUAGUGGAAGCGUCUGGAAAGGCGCGCGAUACAGGGUGACAGCCCCGUACACAAAAGCGCACAUGCUGUGAGCUCGAUGAGUAGGGCGGGACACGUGGUAUCCUGUCUGAAUAUGGGGGGACCAUCCUCCAAGGCUAAAUACUCCUGACUGACCGAUAGUGAACCAGUACCGUGAGGGAAAGGCGAAAAGAACCCCGGCGAGGGGAGUGAAAAAGAACCUGAAACCGUGUACGUACAAGCAGUGGGAGCCCCACCACUAAGCCAGUGGUGAACUCCACAUACGCAUCCUUUGCUGAGGAUACGGUUAACGGAGCGCAAGCGACGUUCAACCGCAAAAGAAGCAGAGGGGGCUUAGUGGUGGGGUGACUGCGUACCUUUUGUAUAAUGGGUCAGCGACUUAUAUUCUGUAGCAAGGUUAACCGCAUAGGGGAGCCGGAGGGAAACCGAGUCUUAAUUGGGCGUUAAGUUGCAGGGUAUAGACCCGAAACCCGGUGAUCUAGCCAUGGGCAGGUUGAAGGUUGGGUAACACUAACUGGAGGACCGAACCGACUAAUGUUGAAAAAUUAGCGGAUGACCUGUGGCUGGGGGUGAAAGGCCAAUCAAACCGGGAGAUAGCUGGUUCUCCCCGAAAGCUAUUUAGGUAGCGCCUCGUGAAUUCAUCUCCGGGGGUAGAGCACUGUUUCGGCUAGGGGGCCAUCCCGGCUUACCAACCCGAUGCAAACUGCGAAUACCGGAGAAUGUUAUCACGGGAGACACACGGCGGGUGCUAACGUCCGUCGUGAAGAGGGAAACAACCCAGACCGCCAGCUAAGGUCCCAAAGUCAUGGUUAAGUGGGAAACGAUGUGGGAAGGCACAGACAGCCAGGAUGUUGGCUUAGAAGCAGCCAUCAUUUAAAGAAAGCGUAAUAGCUCACUGGUCGAGUCGGCCUGCGCGGAAGAUGUAACGGGGCUAAACCAUGCACCGAAGCUGCGGCAGCGACACUCAGGUGUUGUUGGGUAGGGGAGCGUUCUGUAAGCCUGUGAAGGUGGCCUGUGAGGGUUGCUGGAGGUAUCAGAAGUGCGAAUGCUGACAUAAGUAACGAUAAAGCGGGUGAAAAGCCCGCUCGCCGGAAGACCAAGGGUUCCUGUCCAACGUUAAUCGGGGCAGGGUGAGUCGACCCCUAAGGCGAGGCCGAAAGGCGUAGUCGAUGGGAAACGGGUUAAUAUUCCCGUACUUGGUGUUACUGCGAAGGGGGGACGGAGAAGGCUAUGUUGGCCGGGCGACGGUUGUCCCGGUUUAAGCGUGUAGGUGUGUGUUCCAGGUAAAUCCGGUUCACUUUAACACUGAGGCGUGACGACGAGGCACUACGGUGCUGAAGCAACAAAUGCCCUGCUUCCAGGAAAAGCCUCUAAGCAUCAGGUAACACGAAAUCGUACCCCAAACCGACACAGGUGGUCAGGUAGAGAAUACCAAGGCGCUUGAGAGAACUCGGGUGAAGGAACUAGGCAAAAUGGUGCCGUAACUUCGGGAGAAGGCACGCUGACACGUAGGUGAAGUGAUUUACUCACGGAGCUGAAGUCAGUCGAAGAUACCAGCUGGCUGCAACUGUUUAUUAAAAACACAGCACUGUGCAAACACGAAAGUGGACGUAUACGGUGUGACGCCUGCCCGGUGCCGGAAGGUUAAUUGAUGGGGUCAGCGCAAGCGAAGCUCCUGAUCGAAGCCCCGGUAAACGGCGGCCGUAACUAUAACGGUCCUAAGGUAGCGAAAUUCCUUGUCGGGUAAGUUCCGACCUGCACGAAUGGCGUAAUGAUGGCCAGGCUGUCUCCACCCGAGACUCAGUGAAAUUGAACUCGCUGUGAAGAUGCAGUGUACCCGCGGCAAGACGGAAAGACCCCGUGAACCUUUACUAUAGCUUGACACUGAACAUUGAGCCUUGAUGUGUAGGAUAGGUGGGAGGCUUUGAAGUGUGGACGCCAGUCUGCAUGGAGCCGACCUUGAAAUACCACCCUUUGAUGUUUGAUGUUCUAACGUGGACCCGUUACCCGGGUUGCGGACAGUGUCUGGUGGGUAGUUUGACUGGGGCGGUCUCCUCCUAAAGAGUAACGGAGGAGCACGAAGGUUGGCUAAUCCUGGUCGGACAUCAGGAGGUUAGUGCAAUGGCAUAAGCCAGCUUGACUGCGAGCGUGACGGCGCGAGCAGGUGCGAAAGCAGGUCAUAGUGAUCCGGUGGUUCUGAAUGGAAGGGCCAUCGCUCAACGGAUAAAAGGUACUCCGGGGAUAACAGGCUGAUACCGCCCAAGAGUUCAUAUCGACGGCGGUGUUUGGCACCUCGAUGUCGGCUCAUCACAUCCUGGGGCUGAAGUAGGUCCCAAGGGUAUGGCUGUUCGCCAUUUAAAGUGGUACGCGAGCUGGGUUUAGAACGUCGUGAGACAGUUCGGUCCCUAUCUGCCGUGGGCGCUGGAGAACUGAGGGGGGCUGCUCCUAGUACGAGAGGACCGGAGUGGACGCAUCACUGGUGUUCGGGUUGUCAUGCCAAUGGCACUGCCCGGUAGCUAAAUGCGGAAGAGAUAAGUGCUGAAAGCAUCUAAGCACGAAACUUGCCCCGAGAUGAGUUCUCCCUGAGACUUAGAGUCUCCUGAAGGAACGUUGAAGACGACGACGUUGAUAGGCCGGGUGUGUAAGCGCAGCGAUGCGUUGAGCUAACCGGUACUAAUGAACCGUGAGGCUUAACCUUACAACGCCGAAG